This 71-nucleotide transfer RNA is filed under the name Salmo salar (Atlantic salmon). It matches the Rfam family "tRNA". Rfam says of the family: Transfer RNA (tRNA) molecules are approximately 80 nucleotides in length. Their secondary structure includes four short double-helical elements and three loops (D, anti-codon, and T loops). RNAcentral also lists the same sequence under 1 other name. Lineage: Eukaryota; Metazoa; Chordata; Actinopteri; Salmoniformes; Salmonidae. The record is from Rfam by way of RNAcentral.
UCCCGUGUGGCUCAGUUGGUAGAGCAUGGUGCUUGCAAUGCCAGGACUGUGGGUUGAAUUCCUGCUGGGAC